RNAcentral lists this ribosomal RNA (403 nucleotides) under uncultured bacterium. RNAcentral's name for it is "bacterial SSU rRNA". It matches the Rfam family "Bacterial small subunit ribosomal RNA", at positions 356 to 773 of the family's 1533-position model. The record is from RNAcentral.
GGGGAAUCUUCCGCAAUGGGCGCAAGCCUGACGGAGCAACGCCGCGUGGGUGAAGAAGGCCUUCGGGUUGUAAAGCCCUGUCUUAUGGGAAGAAGUCAGUGACGGUACCAUAGGAGGAAGCCACGGCUAACUACGUGCCAGCAGCCGCGGUAAUACGUAGGUGGCGAGCGUUGUCCGGAAUUACUGGGCGUAAAGGGCGCGCAGGCGGGUUUUUAAGUCAGAUGUGUAAUCUACAGGCUCAACCUGUAGUUUGGAUCUGAUACUGGAAAUCUUGAGUGCAGGAGAGGACAGUGGAAUUCCUAGUGUAGCGGUGAAAUGCGUAGAUAUUAGGAGGAACACCAGUGGCGAAGGCGGCUGUCUGGCCUGCAACCGACGCUGAGGCGCGAAAGCGUGGGUAGCGAAC